RNAcentral lists this long non-coding RNA (1763 nucleotides) under Olea europaea subsp. europaea. The record is from RNAcentral. Lineage: Eukaryota; Viridiplantae; Streptophyta; Magnoliopsida; Lamiales; Oleaceae.
UGGUUCCUUCAUUGGAUGGAUAUGAAUCUCGACCAGGUAUUGGGAAUGCGAGAAGCAGUACAUUGGUCAGAUAAAUAUCUACAACAAAAUCUUUAAGGGUACGUCAACCUUUUAUUUCUAGUUGAGUAGGAGCAUUGGUUACAUAUUUCUCUUUGCUGCAUGAUAUUAGCUGGGCUCAUUUUCAUGCCAUAUAAAAAAUACAUUUAGUUGUAACCGUGUUAUGCUCACUUGUUUUAUGAAAAUCUUGCAUUUUUGUUGUUUUAUUUGUCUUUAUUAAGUGAACAAGAUACGUAAUCAACUACUAAACAUUCUCUUGAACAUAACAACUAUCACCUUCCUAUCCUAUUUGUCCGAAAUCACUUUUUAGAAAACAAUUCCAAUUUUAGCUGUCUCAGUCAAACAGCAACCGUCCUAUAUGAUCAACUCGAAGCAGUUCAGCGACUCGACCAUCCAUCUCCAACAAAUCAACCUUUAUUCUAAACACAAGCUCUUCUUCAGUUACAUCUUAUAUAAGACCAUCCACUCCCAGUCGCUCUUCAUCAACUACAACUAUUAGAUUUCGUGCCCCCAAAUUAGGGUUAUUUUUGGAAAAUAUUGUUUCAUUAUUUUCACGUGAUUUUAUUGAAAAAUAUUGUUUCCUUAUUUUCAAAUGAUUUUAUUGGAAAAAUAUUAUUUCCUUUAAUCCACAUUGUCUUUUAUAUUAUUUCCAUCUUCAUGAUAUUUUUAGGGUUUGGUAUGUCUCUAUAAAUAUGUGGCUUUUCAUUUAGUUUAAGUGAAACUUUAUUGUUGAAUUCUAGUAUUCUCUCCACAUAUUGUCUUUAAUAAAACAUCGAUUCCUCUACUUAUCUCUCUUCAGUUUCUUUACUUUAAUCUUGUUUUCUUCGUUGUGAUCAUAUAUAUUUCAUAUUGUCCAUUAAUUAAAAUUCUUGCAUCGCCUUCGGGUUCAACAAGUGGUAUCAAAGCUAGGCGACAAGUUCUUUAUGAUUUGAUUGGGAUUUUUCAGAUAUGACUACAUUGAAGUAUGAUAUUCCGCUACUGGAUCGCAUUACAAGAUUUUCAUUGUGGUAAGUAAAGAUCAGGGUUGUGUUGGCACAGAUGGAUGUAGACGAUGCUUUGUUGACUUUUGAUAAAAUGCCAGCAAAAUGUACAACGAAGGAUUCGGUUUAAGAACCGUCGGGUUCGGUUCGGGAGAUUUGCCCAGCCCUAUAUUUAAUGACAUGAUGUAUUUAAAUAAACAUCAUAUGGCUUUUAUAUAAAUUGUGGAAGCAUCCUUAUGAAGUUUAUUGACCAAUUCAACAAAUUUGAACAACGCUCAAUUAUAUAAAUAUGAAGACUCUCUGCAUAUGUGUGGGGUAAUUUAAUGAAUAGUCACUCAACAUUAUUAUAGGUUACUAUUUGCUCAAUGAUAUCCAAAAAGGUAUUCGUUGCUCAAUGAGCUUUGCUAUAUGUUACUAUUUACAAUGAAAUUGCAAGUGGAGGGUAAAGUUUUGGAUGACUACUACUUGUUUUUGUCUGGAAAUUAUGGGAAUUCUUGCAUUGAUAUUCGUUCCACUUGAUUGGUUUUUUCUGAGUGAUUAAGAUGUAUUUGGUGGAGAGUAGAGGGGGAUGUUAAGGCACAUGGCCUGCGAUUUUGAUAAUCCUGGAGACGCUUGGUUGGAUUCACCCUCGAUCGAAUUCAAUAUUCUUCACAAUUGGAAUGAACUCUAGUUCAAUUUUGUUGGGUGGCUUUUGGCUCCUAGAGGAAAUUCACUAAAGCGAGUGGA